UAUUCUGCCCCAUGGGGAAGGAUGAGAAGCUUCGACUAAGGUUCGACUCGAGCGCCAGCGAGAGAACGUUGCCACAGGCAACGGCCCGAAGGGCGAGGCGCUUUAGCGCCGAGUAAUCCUUCCCCCACCAC
Molecule: small RNA, 131 nt
Filed under: Klebsiella pneumoniae
Lineage: Bacteria; Pseudomonadati; Pseudomonadota; Gammaproteobacteria; Enterobacterales; Enterobacteriaceae
Description: RtT sRNA
Rfam family: RtT RNA
About the family: This family represents a bacterial cis-regulatory element known as RtT RNA. The exact function of RtT is unknown although it is thought that it may be involved in changing the cellular response in relation to amino acid starvation.
Source: RNAcentral